GAACGCUGGCUCCAGGCCUAACACAUGCAAGUCGAGCGCCGUAGCAAUACGGAGCGGCAGACGGGAGAGCAACACGUGGGAACGUGCCCUUCAGUUCGGAACAACCCAGGGAAACUUGGGCUAAUACCGGAUACGUCCGUAAGGAGAAAGAUUUAUCGCUGAAGGAUCGGCCCGCGUCUGAUUAGCUAGUUGGUGAGGUAACGGCUCACCAAGGCGACGAUCAGUAGCUGGUCUGAGAGGAUGAUCAGCCUCACUGGGACUGAGACACGGCCCAGACUCCUACGGGAGGCAGCAGUGGG
Molecule: ribosomal RNA, 299 nt
Filed under: uncultured Hyphomicrobiales bacterium
Lineage: Bacteria; Pseudomonadati; Pseudomonadota; Alphaproteobacteria; Hyphomicrobiales
Description: uncultured Rhizobiales bacterium partial 16S ribosomal RNA
Rfam family: Bacterial small subunit ribosomal RNA
Source: RNAcentral